AAAAAUCCAUGAAACUUACCAUUUUUUAAAAAUAUGGGUCUUUAACUCAUAUAGUCUAAAUUGCUAUAUGAUAUUACAUGAAGGAUCCAAAUUACUAAUAAAUUUCAUAAAAGCUCUAAAUGAACUAGUAUAUUACAUAAAUGUAGGCUCAAAUUACUUUAAUACUCAUUCAUAUUAUUUAAUUGAUUUAUAACAAAUAUCUAAAUGAAAAAAAUCAUGGAAUAUAGUUUUGAAAAGAAGUGGGGCCCAAAUUAAUUUAAUACGAAUUUCUAUUAUUUAAUUGAUUUAUAACAAAUAUCUAAAUGGAAAAAAUAAUGAGAUACGAUUUUGGAAAGAAGUGGAAAACUUUUCAUGCUUUCCUUCCACGAAAACGGUUGUCUACUCCUUCCAACGUGGAUUACGAUUUUUACUUCGAAAUGUUAGAGAGUUCGGAGGUAAAGAAGAAGACAGUCGACGACCGACAAAUACAAAACUUCUCGAACAUAAUCUAGUUAAAAACUUCGAGGUUAAUAUUGUAUAUAUUCAACACAUAUGAAACAUUAGGUAUAUUAGGUAUAUUUUAGAUAUUCAAUUAAAUAGUUAAUCAAAUGAAAAUGUAGUUUUGAAUGUGAUACAUUUUAGGGUUUAUUGAGAUUUCGACGGUAAAGAAGAAAACUUUCGAUGGCCGAAAAAUACAAAACUUAUCCGAUAGAAUCUAGCUAGGAAUUUUGUGAUUAAUAUUAUAUAUAUUUAAAACAAAUGAAACAUUCGGUAUAUUAGGUAUAUUUUAGAUUAUAUUCAAAACAUAUGAUGAUAGAACUAAGUCAUGCACAGCGGAAAAAGAAUCGAAUUUCUACCCUAAUUGCCACAAUUAACAUGUAACCAUAAACUAAUCAAAUUAGGGUUUUAAGAAAUAUUACCUUUGAAGCUUUCAAAAGGUUUGAUAUCUUCUUACCAAUUCUAACCGAGACCACCACUAGUACUCAACUGCUAUCCUCUAGACAAAGAACCGGGUUGUGAGACCUAAUUUUGGUGUAGAAAGUAAUGGAGAUAAAAUGGGAUUGGAAGGUUUUUUUUUCUUUGUUGAGAUGAUGAAAAUGAUAAAAGAGGCAAAAGUUUUUUCAACAUUUGAAAACACCUCCAUUUAUAACCUAAUUACAUGCAAAAAUGCAUGCAAUUCAUUUGCCAAAUCUCAUCACCUAAUGUUCCACUAACAAUUAGUGGAACUUAGUGGGCUAGGUGUCUAUAUCUCAUAUAGCCACAUAUCCCACUAAGAGUUAGUGG
This 1263-nucleotide long non-coding RNA is filed under the name Cucumis sativus (cucumber). Its description in RNAcentral is "long non-coding RNA (CSAT_LNC003075)". Lineage: Eukaryota; Viridiplantae; Streptophyta; Magnoliopsida; Cucurbitales; Cucurbitaceae. The record is from RNAcentral.